This 465-nucleotide ribosomal RNA is filed under the name uncultured bacterium. RNAcentral's name for it is "partial 16S ribosomal RNA". It matches the Rfam family "Bacterial small subunit ribosomal RNA", at positions 28 to 507 of the family's 1533-position model. The record is from RNAcentral.
GACGAACGCUGGCGGCGUGCUUAACACAUGCAAGUCGAACGGAAAGGCCCCUUUGGGGGUACUCGAGUGGCGCACGGGUGAGUAACACGUGAGUAACCUGCCCUUUUCUUCGGGAUAACUUCAGGAAACUGGGGCUAAUACCCGCUAGGAAUUCUUGCUGCAUGGUGGUGGUUGGAAAGCUUUGGGGGUUUUGGAUGGACUCGCGGCUUAUCUGCUUGUUGGUGGGGUAGUGGUUUACCAAGGCGUUGACGGGUAGCCGGCCUGAGAGGGCGACCGGCCACAAUGGGACUGAGAUACGGGCCAGACUCCUGCGGGAGGCAGCAGUGGAGAAGAGUGAGCAAUGGGCGGAAGCCCGAUGCAGCAAAGCAGCGUGCGGGAUGACGGAAUUCGGGUUGAAAAACGCUUUAAGCAGGGGCGAAGCUAGUAGUGAAGGUAACUGCAGAAGAAGCACCGGCUAACUACGUG